GCCGGCGUAGCUCAGUUGGUAGAGCAGCUGAUUUGUAAUCAGCAGGUCGUGGGUUCGAGCCCCUCCGCCGGCUCCA
RNAcentral lists this transfer RNA (76 nucleotides) under Nitrospirota bacterium. RNAcentral's name for it is "Nitrospirae bacterium (groundwater metagenome) tRNA-Thr". It matches the Rfam family "tRNA". From Rfam's summary of the family: Transfer RNA (tRNA) molecules are approximately 80 nucleotides in length. The record is from RNAcentral. Lineage: Bacteria; Pseudomonadati; Nitrospirota.